UAAGGAAAACAAAGCGAGCGGUGAGAGCUGCUCGCCGCGCACAUAAAAAAUUUUAUGCGCACGAAUUUGUGGAGGGGUUAUAGGCUGGCCGGGCGUUGACACUGCUUACUUUGCAGGACUCACCCGUGCGGGCCUCCCAACCCGCCAAAACUACAGCCGAAGUUUUGUACUGAUGUUUUUUUUUGUCAAAUUUAGGUUAAAUAAAAUAGUGCAAGUAUAGGCAAAUUUAAGUUAAAUAAAUUAGUAAGUAAAUCUGACUGUAAUUAGCAUUGGUUUAUAUCAAUUAUAAGCGAAUUUUGAACUGGCUUGCCCUUAUAAGUAUUAGUAUCUUAAUACUGAACAGGAUAUGUUGAACAACUAAGAAGAAAAUUUGAGAAGCCAAUUUUUGUAUGCUUAUAUUUCUAUAUGCGUUUUGUUUAUUAGUAUUAGAUGAGUCUUAAUUUUGUUUAUUAGUAUUAGAUAGUCUUAAUAUCAAACGAGUUCUAAUAAUAUUAGAUCUUUAUUAGUAUUAGAUGAGUCUUAAUACCAAACGAGUUCUAAUAAUGUUAGACCAAACGAGUCAUAAUAAUGUUAGACAGCCGUCAAUCCAAAACUAGCUUUGAUGUUGUUACGGUUAAGCUUUUUUUCCUUUUCAACUUCUGUGUUAGCAUUAGUAAAUGGGACUCGUAAAAAAGCGAUCAGGGAUUGGGAUAUAAACCAAGGACCAAACCGAAAAGGCCCAAUUCGGAAUCCUACGAGCCCACGCGACCAGGCCGGUAGGCGGUAGACGUAAACCUCGGCCCGAACUGGAACGGGUCGGGUCGGGUCAAACCCGGUCCCACCGAAACUGAAGCGAAACUCAUGCUCACUCGCUUCCGCGUGGAGGGAGAGGGAGAACGGAGCUCCAUGGCGGAGAACGACGAUCUCGGGAUCGAACGCACCGCUUCCAUUCAAAACCCUACCAAACCCUCAUCUUCUAUCGGCGCUAGGGUUCGCGCAACCCACGACGACGACGAAGAUGAGGUUAGGGUUUCUCUUCGCCCCGUUCUCCCUCAUUCCUCAUCUGAUUUAAUCCAUCAGGAGGCCGCGCGAGCUCUAUCAGUUAUGGACAGUUUUCAUCAGCCAUGGUUGACUGGAGUGGAAUUGCUUGACGAUGCAAAUCGGAAUAAACAUGUUCUUCCCACCGGACUUGAAGGAAUCGAUGUUCUUCUUGGAGGUGGGUUGCGUGAGGGUCAGUUGAUAGAAAUAGCUGGUCCAUCUUCUUCUGGUAAAACCCAACCGUUGCAAAUGCAGGUUUGCUUACAUUCAGCUUCAUGCAUUGCAGACAAGGGUUCUGUUAUGUUCUUGGACACUUGUAAUUCCUUUUCACCAAACAGAAUAGCAUGCAUGGUUAAUCAAUUUUCUGGUCCCCUGUUCAAGGAGGCAAAAGAAAGAAGGCUCGAGAGGAUUAUGAGCAGUAUACUCUGUCAGCCAAUAUAUGAUAUAUUCGAGCUUUUGGAUACACUGCAUCAGCUAGAAUCAACUUUAAAGCAUACGGUAAAAACUGGAGGCUAUAAGAUAUGUUUGCUUAUUAUUGACUCAAUCUCAUCUUUAAUCGCGCCAAUUCUUGGAGGGAAGAGUCCACAAGGAAGGUUGUUGAUGGUAUCUGCCGGAAUUGUUUUAAAGAAGUUAGCGCAUGAAUUCAAUCUAGCUGUACUGGUGACCAAUCAUAUGGUUGGUGGAGAGGGAGGAAUCAUAAAGCCUGCUCUUGGUGAGAGUUGGAAGAACAUUCCCCAUGUACGCCUUGUGGUCUCCCGUGAUCAACAGAGCAAUGUUUUUACAGCAACUGUACUAAAACACACAAUGAGGGUAGCGUACUAUAUUCAUGUUUCAGAAUUUACUUGUAACACGGAUAUAAAUUAUAGCCAAAUGAAGAACCAAUCAAAGAAUCAUAGGAUUUUAAACAUGCUGAUAUUGCACUUAUAUAAUGUCCCUAUAGCAGCAUGUUUUUGAUUUCGAAUAUUGCAACUCUGGGGUAAAACCCCCCCCCAAACUGUGCUUGUAUGUUCUUUGCUGACAAUUUGCCAUGUGUCAGAGUUUGCAAGGAAAAAAGUACACAAUGUUGACUAAUCUUUAGUUUAACUUAAGGAGCAUUGGAAGAUUAGAAGUUACGAAUGUUUCCUUUCUCGAUCAUUUAGGGAUCAUCUUUAUUCUAUUAACAAGUCACUUAACAAUUAUCCAUCAUCAACUACGAUUUUGGAUGCCACAACAAUUAUUGAUCAUCAACUACGAUUUUGGAUGUCAUAAGAACUAUCAAUCAUCAACUACGAUUUUGGAUCAUUUAGGGAUCAGCUGUAUUUCAUUAACAAGUAUCAUAACAAUUUGUGGUUGUUAUGCCCUAUCUAAAUAUAUUAGGCGCCAAUUUUUGGACAUUAGUUCACUUUAUACUUGUCAUCUCUUUUUUGUAUUUUGUAAUAUACUCUGUCUAGCCCGAGUUCUCAUCUUCUGGUAAAAUGUCUGCAAGAUUAUCUUCAGGAUAUUCCUGUGAUGAGUUGUGCAGCUUCCUUUUGGAACUUUUCUUCCUUGCUGACUAUUUGCGCAAAUGUACAAGCUAGACGAUCGGCUUCUGGUCGCACCGCAAAAUUUGUGAUCCACAACUGAACAGAGGCAAGCACUUCUCCGGAUAGGGUGAGGAAGACAAGGUGGCAGGAAGGUGCUGCUAUCCUCAGCUUCUGAUGAGGAGCACGAAAUAUCUCAUGCGGCACUCCCUAGCUGAUUAUUCUUUUCCUUUUGUUUGAAUGCUAACUGUUUUUGCUUCUCUAGCUUUUGUUUUUUGCACAAAUUGGGGGGGCCAUAAAGCUGGCGAGCUAGUAUCGUUUCAUGAACGACGUACGCAAGAAUCACUGCUAUGGACAAAGAGGAAUCCUUUACUCGUCCUUCGAACGUCCGUUAUUGCAUAUGGUCUUGUGAACUGUGAGGAAAACAUCCAGGAGAGUAGAUAAAGAUUAAACAGCUUAUUUUGUAUUGAGAUUACCCUUGUGUUGAGGAACCUUUUGCUUUGUCUUCGAGGAGGGUCGGAAUCUUUGUGUUUGGACAUUUUUUUUGUUCCUGUGUGAUGAGGUGGCCAAUAAUUUACCCUCUGAAUGAUAGCAGCCCAAUAGGAACCUGCCAUGUCAGACAGACAGAGUUGUUGGAUGAUAUGGUAUGGAUGUUACAUCUA
Ananas comosus (pineapple) is the source of this 3178-nucleotide RNA transcript. It is a transcript of the gene named DNA repair protein RAD51 homolog 4, with no coding region annotated. The transcript has 9 exons. Lineage: Eukaryota; Viridiplantae; Streptophyta; Magnoliopsida; Poales; Bromeliaceae. The record is from RefSeq and is a predicted model, not a curated record.